Long non-coding RNA from Harmonia axyridis, 282 nucleotides. RefSeq lists it as uncharacterized. The record is from RefSeq and is a predicted model, not a curated record. The transcript is spliced from 3 exons. Lineage: Eukaryota; Metazoa; Arthropoda; Insecta; Coleoptera; Coccinellidae.
AUCUCAAGGGUGAUCAUUCGAAAGUCAAAAUGAAGCCAACAGCAUUUGUGAUAUUAUUGCUUGUUUUGGUGGCAGUAAAUACUGUUACCUCCCAAUCUACAGUUUCGGAGGUCAGAGAAAACCAAGGAAAAAAAGUUAAAGUUGUCGACGCAAUUGUGAAGGUCCAAGUAGAAAGAGAUCCUAAUGCAUCAGUGGAUCCGGUACCCUACUAGUGAAAGUGUCUUCAAUGCAGGACAAUGAAUUCAAACUGGAAAAAAUUGAAAUAAAAUGAUGAAUUUUUAA